GUGCCAGCAGCCGCGGUAAUACGUAGGUGGCAAGCGUUGUCCGGAAUUAUUGGGCGUAAAGGGAGCGCAGGUGGGAAUGUAAGUCAAUCUUAAAAGUGCGGGGCUUAACCCCGUGAUGGGAUAGAAACUACAUUUCUUGAGUGCAGGAGAGGAAAGUGGAAUUCCUGGUGUAGCGGUGAAAUGCGUAGAUAUCAGGAGGAACACCAGUGGCGAAGGCGACUUUCUGGACUGUAACUGACACUGAGGCUCGAAAGCCAGGGGAGCGAACGGGAUUAGAUACCCCGGUAGUCCUGGCCGUAAACGAUGGGUACCAGGUGUAGGAGGUAUCGACCCCUUCUGUGCCGAGUUAACGCAAUAAGUACCCGCCUGGGGAGUACGGCCGCAAGGCUGAAACUCAAAGGAAUUGACGGGGCCCGCACAAGCGGUGGAGUAUGUGGUUAAUUCGACGCAACGCGAAGAACCUUACCAGGGCUUGACAUUGAUUGCAAGCCAUAGAGAUAUGGGCCUCUUCUUCGGAAG
Molecule: ribosomal RNA, 519 nt
Filed under: uncultured Anaerosinus sp.
Lineage: Bacteria; Bacillati; Bacillota; Negativicutes; Selenomonadales; Sporomusaceae
Description: bacterial SSU rRNA
Rfam family: Bacterial small subunit ribosomal RNA
Source: RNAcentral